RNAcentral lists this ribosomal RNA (333 nucleotides) under Pseudomonas aeruginosa. RNAcentral describes it as "bacterial SSU rRNA". It matches the Rfam family "Bacterial small subunit ribosomal RNA", at positions 422 to 747 of the family's 1533-position model. The record is from RNAcentral. Lineage: Bacteria; Pseudomonadati; Pseudomonadota; Gammaproteobacteria; Pseudomonadales; Pseudomonadaceae.
GUUGUAAAGCACUUUCAGCGGGGAGGAAGGCGUUAAGGUUAAUAACCUUGGCGAUUGACGUUACCCGCAGAAGAAGCACCGGCUAACUCCGUGCCAGCAGCCGCGGUAAUACGGAGGGUGCAAGCGUUAAUCGGAAUUACUGGGCGUAAAGCGCACGCAGGCGGUCUGUCAAGUCGGAUGUGAAAUCCCCGGGCUCAACCUGGGAACUGCAUUCGAAACUGGCAGGCUAGAGUCUUGUAGAGGGGGGUAGAAUUCCAGGUGUAGCGGUGAAAUGCGUAGAGAUCUGGAGGAAUACCGGUGGCGAAGGCGGCCCCCUGGACAAAGACUGACGCU